Molecule: ribosomal RNA, 253 nt
Filed under: uncultured bacterium
Lineage: Bacteria
Description: partial 16S ribosomal RNA
Rfam family: Bacterial small subunit ribosomal RNA
Source: RNAcentral
UACAGAGGGUGCUAGCGUUGUUCGGAAUUAUUGGGCGUAAAGGGCGCGUAGGCGGUCCUGUAUGUCGGGUGUGAAAGCCCACCUCUUAAAGGUGGAAUUGCAUUCGAAACUACUGGACUGGAGUACCGGAGAGGAUGGCGGAAUUCCUGGUGUAGAGGUGAAAUUCGUAGAUAUCAGGAGGAACACCGGUGGCGAAGGCGGCCAUCUGGACGGUUACUGACGCUGAGGCGCGAAAGCGUGGGGAGCAAACAGG